AAGCAUGAAUAUAUGAAGGAAACUGCAUUCAGAGAAUGAGAAGAACACCCCCACUGGACGAACUGCAGCCUCCGCCAUAUCAGGAUGACAGCGGGUCUCCCCACCUCUCAUGUACACCCUCAGAAAUCGGGGACAGUAAAUGUGAAUUUUCCCACUGCAGCAACAGCCCAAGACGCUCCUAUAACAAGUGCCCGAGUGAAGGAAGCACCGGUCACGAAAUAGAAAGUUUUCAUAAUAAAGGAUAUGAAGAAGAUGUUCCGAGUGACAGCACUGCAGUCCUGAGCC
Long non-coding RNA from Myotis davidii, 285 nucleotides. RefSeq lists it as uncharacterized. The record is from RefSeq and is a predicted model, not a curated record. The transcript has 3 exons. Lineage: Eukaryota; Metazoa; Chordata; Mammalia; Chiroptera; Vespertilionidae.